Molecule: small nuclear RNA, 103 nt
Filed under: Carlito syrichta (Philippine tarsier)
Lineage: Eukaryota; Metazoa; Chordata; Mammalia; Primates; Tarsiidae
Source: RNAcentral
AUGCUCGCUUUGGCAGCACAUAAACUAAAAUUGGAGUGAUACGGAGAAGAUUAGUAUGGCCCCUGCACAAGGAUAACAUGUUCAAGAUGGAUUAGCAAAAAUA